UACGUAGGGGGCUAGCGUUGUCCGGAUUUAUUGGGCGUAAAGAGCUCGUAGGCGGUCUGUCGCGUCGGAUGUGAAAACCCGGGGCUUAACCCCGGGCCUGCAUUCGAUACGGGCAGACUCGAGUGUGGUAGGGGAGACUGGAACUCCUGGUGUAGCGGUGAAAUGCGCAGAUAUCAGGAAGAACACCGGUGGCGAAGGCGGGUCUCUGGGCCACUACUGACGCUGAGGAGCGAAAGCGUGGGGAGCGAACAGG
RNAcentral lists this ribosomal RNA (253 nucleotides) under uncultured bacterium. Its description in RNAcentral is "partial 16S ribosomal RNA". It matches the Rfam family "Bacterial small subunit ribosomal RNA", at positions 524 to 776 of the family's 1533-position model. The record is from RNAcentral.